This 164-nucleotide ribosomal RNA is filed under the name Agoseris heterophylla. RNAcentral's name for it is "5.8S ribosomal RNA". It matches the Rfam family "5.8S ribosomal RNA". Rfam says of the family: 5.8S ribosomal RNA (5.8S rRNA) is a component of the large subunit of the eukaryotic ribosome. It is transcribed by RNA polymerase I as part of the 45S precursor that also contains 18S and 28S rRNA. The record is from RNAcentral. Lineage: Eukaryota; Viridiplantae; Streptophyta; Magnoliopsida; Asterales; Asteraceae. RNAcentral also lists the same sequence under 21 other names.
CAAACGACUCUCGGCAACGGAUAUCUCGGCUCACGCAUCGAUGAAGAACGUAGCAAAAUGCGAUACUUGGUGUGAAUUGCAGAAUCCCGUGAACCAUCGAGUUUUUGAACGCAAGUUGCGCCCGAAGCCAUCCGGCUGAGGGCACGCCUGCCUGGGCGUCACGC